UAAAGGUUUGGUCCCAGCCUUCCUAUUGAUUAUUAGUAAAUUUACACAUGCAAGUAUCCGCACUCCUGUGAGAAUACCCUCUAAAUCACCUUUGACUGAAAGGAGUAGGUAUCAAGCACACUUAUUUAUAAGUAGCUAAUCACACCUUGCUUAGCCACACCCCCACGGGAAACAGCAGUGAUAAAAAUUAAGCCAUGAACGAAAGUUCGACUAAGUUAUGCUAAUAUUUAGGGUUGGUAAAUUUCGUGCCAGCCACCGCGGUCAUACGAUUAACCCAAAUUAAUAGGCAACGGCGUAAAGCGUGUUAAAGAGCACUAAAUAAAAUAAAGAUAAAACUUGACUAGGCUGUAGAAAGCAACAGUCAAGACUAAAAUAAACUACGAAAGUGACUUUAUUAUUUCUGAUCACACGAUAGCCAAGACCCAAACUGGGAUUAGAUACCCCACUAUGCUUAGCCCUAAACUUAGGUAAUUUAAUUAACAAAACUACUCGCCGGAGGACUACUAGCAACAGCUUAAAACUCAAAGGACUUGGCGGUGCUUUAUAUCCAUCUAGAGGAGCCUGUUCUAUAAUCGAUAAACCCCGAUAAACCUCACCGCCCCUUGCUAAUUCAGCUUAUAUACCGCCAUCUUCAGCAAACCCUUAAAAGGAAUAACAGUAAGCUUAAGUAUUUUACAUAAAAACGUUAGGUCAAGGUGUAGCUUAUGGGGCGGGAAGAAAUGGGCUACAUUUUCUAUAACUAGAACAUUCACGAAAGUUUCUAUGAAACUAGAGACCAAAGGAGGAUUUAGUAGUAAGUUAAGAAUAGAGCGCUUAACUGAACCAGGCCAUGAAGCACGCACACACCGCCCGUCACCCUCCUCAAGUAUUUAAGUCUACUAAUACAUAAUCCCAGACUAACUAGUAUUAGAGGAGAUAAGUCGUAACAAGGUAAGCAUACUGGAAAGUGUGCUUGGACGAAU
Molecule: non-coding RNA, 962 nt
Filed under: Blarina hylophaga (Elliot's short-tailed shrew)
Lineage: Eukaryota; Metazoa; Chordata; Mammalia; Eulipotyphla; Soricidae
Description: 12S ribosomal RNA
Rfam family: Bacterial small subunit ribosomal RNA
Source: RNAcentral